CCUACGGGAGGCAGCAGUGAGGAAUAUUGGUCAAUGGACGAGAGUCUGAACCAGCCAAGUAGCGUGAAGGAUGAAUGCCCUAUGGGUUGUAAACUUCUUUUAUAUGGGAAUAAAAUGUUCCACGUGUGGGAUUUUGUAUGUACCAUAUGAAUAAGGAUCGGCUAACUCCGUGCCAGCAGCCGCGGUAAUACGGAGGAUCCGAGCGUUAUCCGGAUUUAUUGGGUUUAAAGGGAGCGUAGGUGGAUUGUUAAGUCAGUUGUGAAAGUUUGCGGCUCAACCGUAAAAUUGCAGUUGAAACUGGCAGUCUUGAGUACAGUAGAGGUGAGCGGAAUUCGUGGUGUAGCGGUGAAAUGCUUAGAUAUCACGAAGAACUCCGAUUGCGAAGGCAGUUCACUGGACUGCAACUGACACUGAGGCUCGAAAGUGUGGGUAUCAAACAGGAUUAGAUACCCCAGUAGUC
RNAcentral lists this ribosomal RNA (460 nucleotides) under uncultured bacterium. RNAcentral's name for it is "partial 16S ribosomal RNA". It matches the Rfam family "Bacterial small subunit ribosomal RNA", at positions 338 to 795 of the family's 1533-position model. The record is from RNAcentral.